This 1506-nucleotide long non-coding RNA is filed under the name Sinocyclocheilus grahami. Its description in RNAcentral is "lncRNA (ENSSGRG00000009069.1)". The record is from RNAcentral. Lineage: Eukaryota; Metazoa; Chordata; Actinopteri; Cypriniformes; Cyprinidae.
GGACGUCAAGAACUGCGAUUACUUUAUGGCCUGUUUUGGUUGCAUGCUGGAUCAAAUUUGAGACAUGUAAAUAAGUCUACAAAAUUGUAAGUACUGACAGUAAAAAUUGUAAGUGCUGGCCAUCCGACUGCUGACAAGUUUGUGCUACUUUUCUUGUUUAUACAUAUCCGGUAUUUUGUACCAAAACUGCGUAUGAUCUGAAAGUAACAGCCUUUGCUAUGUUUUACCCAUUUCACUGGGAAUGGGCCUAUAGCAACACUGCACACUUUUUGUUAGGAGCCAUAUCAGACUGUACAUUGUCAAUAAUAUGUAAUGGUCAUUAUUUAUCAGUUUGUAAACCUGAAAGUGAAAACUGAAUUUUCUUCUCUCAGUGAGUGAGUUGAAUCCACUGAGAAGGAAACAAAACAGGAGCCAUUUUAAAUACUUCUAUAACUGUCUAUAAACUUUGGAAUAUAGAUGCAUAACAAAAAAUAUAUAAUAUUUUGGCCAGUUCUGUAUUAAUCACUAAGAAGAAGUUAUCGAAGUUCCAGUAACUAAUGGACAAAGCAGAAGGGUUAAAAGAUCGAGAGUUUUCUCCAAAAAGGUAUGUUACUGAUGGCAGCAAAUUAAACAUCACAAUGACAUACAAACACAUUUUUAAAAAAAAGCUAAACAGCAUCAAAUUUAUACUGUUAUUUACCGUGUUAAGAUCAAGAAAGCGAUCAAGAUCAGUCUCUUCGGAGUCCACCUUCCUGUCUAUGAAAAGCAACAAAUCUAUUGUUGAUCCGCCAAAUUUAAAAGAUGGCAGAAUGUCACCUGAAAGCAGACUAAACACCAUAAGAUCAGGAAUAAGAUCAAGAUCAGUCUCUACAGCACCCAGCUAUCUGACUAUGAAAAGCAAUAUGUCUAUUGUUGAUCCACCCAACUUAAAAGAUGACACAGUAUCACCUGGAGAGAGCUCAAACUCUUUUAUAACCAGCAUGCUGUCCAUCAGAAAUAACUGGUCUAGAGAUACAUCUAACAUUGAGAAAGAGGGAGACAUGGUACUACAACAAAGGUUUGUAAUUUCUGUUCCAGUAAUAAGUAUUUGUUUAAAGGGGUCAUAUGAUGUUGCUAAAAAGAACAUUAUUUUGUGUAUUUGGUGUAAUGAAAUGUGUUUAUGCGGUUUAAGGUUAAAAAAAACAUUAUUUUCCACAUACUGUACAUUAUUGUUUCUCCUCUAUGCCCCGCCUUUCUGAAACGUGUCGAUUUUUACAAAGCUCAUCGGUCUGAAUAGCGAGGUGUGCUCUGAUUGGCCAGAUAUCCAGUGCGUUGUGAUUGGCCGAAUACCUCAAGCAUGUGGCGGAAAUGUUAUGCCCCUCACCAUACUGUGAUGAUGCCGUCCGGCCGGAACGAUGAUUAAAAAACAUGAAAACCCAUUAUAAACGAGGCAUUUGUUGCAUCCAGUGGGGACAUAAUUAUGGAGUAUAAUGACUUAUACUGUCUUUUUACGCGUUGCGUUGCAUCACGCCGCGUAAACAUAAAACC